This 6179-nucleotide long non-coding RNA is filed under the name Papio anubis (olive baboon). RNAcentral's name for it is "lncRNA (ENSPANG00000043870.1)". Lineage: Eukaryota; Metazoa; Chordata; Mammalia; Primates; Cercopithecidae. The record is from RNAcentral.
AAGCAUCCUGUGGGCUUACUGAGAUGCCCUAAGUCAGUCAGGUCACUCCUUUCUCUAGGGAAGGACCUUUUUUUUUUUUUUUUUUUUUGAGAUGGAGUUUUGCUCUCAUUGCCCAGGCUGGAGUGCAAUGAUGCAACCUCGGUUCAUGGCAACCUCCGCCUCCCAGAUUCAAGCAAUUUUCCUGCCUCAGCUUCCCAAGUAACUGGGAUUACAGGCACCCACCACCACGCCCAGCUAAUUUUUUUGUAUUUUUAGUAGAGAAGGGGUUUCACCAUGUUGGCCAGGCUGGCCUUGAACUCCUGACCUCAGGUGAUUUGCCCAUCUCGGCCUCCCAAAGUGCUGGGAUUACAGGCGUGAGCCACCGCGCCUGGCUCGGGAAGGACCAUCUCGUUCAUAGCUGCAGUACACGGACAUUGUCUUCUUAAGGUAACAAAUGGAGGUGUUACGGUGAAAGGAUGGUAGACAUCCAGACCUCAGCUCUCAGGCAGAGAUAACACCGCUAAUUCUUUCAUUCAGGACACAAACGUUCUCUGCAUUGACGCUACAGGAGGUGCAAUGCCAGAGACUUGGAGCUGAGCAAGGCCUUGCUGGCUCCCUGGAGGACACUGGCUGCAAUAAGAGAUGUGUCAAAAUAGUUCAAGCUGCAAGGGGUCCAUCAUAGAGGACGAAAUGGACUGAGGAGAAGUCAAGGGAGGAUUGUUGGAGGGAGAAUUCUGAGACGGGUUUUGAAGGAGCUAUCUAGGUGAGCAGACGACAAAUGCAGAGAAAUCGAGGUGAUAUUGGAACCUGCAAGUAUGCAGUUCUUCCUGCAGCUUCAGGCAUGUAUGGAAGUAACUGAGGAUGACUCCAGACCCAGAGACCGCAAAGAACCAGGAAAAAAAUGUACAGCUGCAUUACCGAUCAAAAAAUACAAAUAUAUACAUGUAUAUUUGUAUAUACAUGUAUAUAUACAGCGCGGACCCUUGAACAACACGGAUUUGAACUGCGCAGGUGCACUCGUAUGCAGAUUGUCUUGCACUCUGCCACCCCUGAGACCCCUGAGAAAGCAGGACCAACCCCUCCUCCUCCUCAGCCUACUCAACGUGAAGAUGAAGAUCUUUCUGACAAUUUACUUGCACUUAAUGAAUGAUAAAUAUAUCAAAUAUAUUUUCUCUUCCUUAUGGUUUUCUUUUUUUCUUUAUAAUUUUCUUGAGACAUAGUCUCUCUCUGUUGCCCAGGCUGUAGAAUCAUACCUCACUGCAGCCUUGGACUCCUGGGCUCAAGCCACUCUCCCACCUCAGCCUCCCAAGUUGCUGGGAUUACAAGCGCAAGCAGUAAGGACCUCAUCCAGUCCUUAUGAUUUUCUUAGUAAUGUUUUCUUUUCUCUAGCUUAGUUUAUUAUGAGAAUAUACUAUGAUACAUGUAACAAUUGAUUAAGGUUAUAGGUAAGGCUUCUACUCAAGAGUAGUCUAUCAGUAGUUAAGUUUUGGGGAAGUCAAAAGACUUAUUCAUGUAUUUCUGACUGUGUUGGGAUGGGGGUGGCACCCCCAACCCUCACAUUGUUCCAGGGUCAACUUUCUUUACAGAGGCGUAGCUAUAGAUAGAUAGAAUAGAUUUAGAUAUCGAUAAAGAUAGGUAGAUAUAUAUGUAUACACUUAUAUAUAUGUAUACAUGUAUGUGCAUAUAUAUGUGUAGUAAAUAUGGGUGUACAUGUGUGUACUGCAUUUUAACGUAUUAAUUAGGGCAGAGAUCAUUUAGAAGAAUCUUACCCAAAGUCACUAGGCUCGCACUGGCUGGUGAAUAGAAACGUGGGCAUGACCUCGCUGACAAUACAUUUGGUAGUGAGCCAAGAAUCUCGUAAAUGUUCGUAUUCUUUGACCCAAAAAUUCUACUUCUGAAAGUCUAUCCUGAAAACAAUGUGUUGAAAUACGGACCAAAAUUUCCGUUUAAAAAAGGCUUAUAAUAGCUCUAUUUGCCAUAGAAAAAAUACAGAACUAUUUAAAUUUGCAUCGUUAGGGGAAUGUUAAGAGAAUUAUGAUGCAGACUUGCAAUUAAAUAUUCUACAGCAAGAAAAUGAGGUUCCAAAGAAUUUUUAAUACGUUGAGGAAAUGCUUGUGAUAUAAUGUCAAGUGAAAAACAGUAAAAUACACAAUAAUACCCACUAUAAACUCAAGCAUGCCAAAAAAGCACAGAAAAGAUUGGAAAAUUUCACCUGCAUAUUAAGGGUAAUUACCUAGGGUGCUAAGACCACUAAAAGUAGUUCCAUCAAAAUCAAGGAAGUUUUCCAAGACCCCACCCGCUUCAGAGGCCGAGACAGGAGGCAGCUUCAGGCUGUGCCUCUUCUCUUUGCCUUCCAGGAUCAGACACCUUUGUGGGUGUCUUUAUGGGUCAUUGUUUCAGAUACUUUUCUCCUACCAAGUACUUUUCCACAUCCCCUACCAAAAAUAUAUAAUAAAAAGAAUUUUAAAAAUUCGAUGAGCCUCACCAAGAAUUGGCACUCUUGUAAAUUACAGAGUAUUUUCCAGCCCACGCCCAAGGGGGUGGUCUUUAGAACCAAAAGAGAAAAAGUGAAUCAUCAUGAUUAUCACCCAAACUACAGUCAAGGCCCUUCCUUCAGAGAGGGAUUCCAGACCUGUGCCCAGCUGCACUGCUAACAUGCCGUGGGUGUCUGGAAGCCAACUAGGGUGGGACUGACUGGUGAAAUGGGAGAGAACCAGGACCCUCAGCUGCUAGAAGGCACAGAAGAGGUUAUGUGGCCCAGCUAAGAGAUGGGGCAAGGGCUUUCCUGAGGCUACACAGUGCAUUAGACAUCAGUUCUGACUAACAUUUCUAAGUGUACUAAGCAUUUACUAUGUACAAGGUAUAAUCUGUUAACUCAUUUAAUGGUCAGAACAAUCCUUUGAGGUAGGUAUUAUUAUUUUCUCCCCAUGUUACAGAUGAGGAAAUAGAGAAAAUAAAUCUUAGAAAACUCAUCCAAAUUGCAUGGCACAAAGUGGCAAAGCCCAGAGCUGAACCCAGGCUUCAGCCAGUACAUGUAAAAACUACACAACGUAUUAGAAAAUGCUAGCUCUGAGAUGGAAGAUCCACACUAAGAUCUGGGAAUGUGGGGUUUGUUUAACUAAGGGACCUGCAGGAGAAUUGCUCUAAGAGGGCCCAGACACUCUCCUGCUUGCCUCAAGGUGAGUAGGGACACCAAGCCGGCAUCCCCAUUUGCAGAGGUGGCAUCUAUUCCCAUGGAAGUAGGUGCUUUCCCAAGCAAACCCUCAGGAGCAGGGCAAACACGUUCUCAGAGAUACCCCACAAGGUAGCUGUUCCUUUGGGAUUUCCCUGCUUUACCGGAGAUGUCUGCCUGGGAUGGGAUAAUGGGUAAUGGAGGCGGUAAUGGUACAUCCUUCCAGAAAUGUCUUAUCUAGAAACAAACACUCAAUUCUCAGGACAGAGGGAAGCCCUGGGGGAUGGUGUUGCCCUGGAUUCAAGCGGGAAGCUUUGCUCCUAGGCCAAGGCAGAGCAGCACUUGCAGGACCCUGAGCCGGCACACCACCACCCACACACCAUAGUGGCAGAACACACCUUCAUUCCAAGUCACCAAGCACGCACGGAGGACCUGCUAUGUGCCUGGUCCCGUGUGCACACUAGGUCUACAGAGGACAAUACCCGUCCUCAGGGAGUUCCCAGAGGCAGCAACAAUAAUAGAAAGUAACCCCAAAAUGGCCAUAAAGCUUGCUAACUACAGGGAGAGAGAAAACUGCAAGAUGCUUCAGUGUAUGACCCAGAAGACGGCAGGAUGGAGAGAGAGGAGUUGGUCAAGAAAACCUCAGAGGAAAAACUCUGUUAGUACUGAAUGGGUAAGGACGUAUGAUUGAGUUACCAGAUUUAUCGCUUAUCUGAGCUAGCAAAUGGGGGAUUUCAGGAAGAGGUAAAUGAUUAGGUAGAAAUGGCUGUGACAUGUCCAAAGCACUGUGAGUCGCUGGAGCGUAUAGGUGGAGCGGGGAAGGUGGCAGGAGGCAACCCCAGAGACGGAAACAGGAAGAUGCUCACUGACAGCCCUGCGGGUCCAGCUACGAAGUUUCUACUUUGCUCUGUAAUCAGUGGGAUCCCCAGGAGGAUUCUCAGCAGGGAGUGGCAUCAUCAAAUUUCGAAUCCAGAAACAUCACUUUUAGUGUCAAGAGAUGGAUUAGAGGGACUCCUCCCUCACCACAGGCCAAAAUGAUGGAAAUUCCUGCUGCUUUUCAAAGUUCCUAAUUUAGACGAACCCAUUAUCUCUAGAAAAGAAGUGAAGAGCAUGCAAAUACAUUCCCUGGGUAUCUCACCUUACAAUUCCUUAACAUUCACCUACUAAGACGUGAAAGCCCACAAACAUGUAAACAUUUACAGCACAUGAACCCACACCCCUGUCUCAGAUUACAUGACAAAGCAAAACUAGGCUCAAAGAUCAUGCAGCAAAGGAAAGCUCAUUUAAUUUAGGCUUAAUAUCAUUAUUAUCACAUUUUAUUUUUUCUUUUGAGAUGGAGUCUCACUCUGUUGCUAGGCUGGAGUGCAAUGGCACAAUCUCGGCUCACUGCAACCUCCACCUCCUGGGUUCAAGCAAUUCUCCUGCCUCAGCCUCCCAAGUAGCUGGGACUACAGGCACCCACCACCAUGCCCAGAUAAUUUUUGUAUUUUUAAUAGAGAUAGGGUUUCACCAUGUUGGCCAUGAUGGUCUCGGUCUCUUUUACAUACUUUUAGAAGUAAUGUUUUCUGUCAAGAUAGCACAUGUAAACUUCCCCUUUAGAUGCAUCACUUCUGUUCUAAAUAUAUGAAAAGACAAAGCACAAAAGAGGGAAAGUAGCCUCAGAUGCAAGGAGGACAUUUCUGUGGACUCAGAAAAGAAACAAAGAUGCAGAAAGGCACCAGCUUGCUGACUCAGGAAGUAAAAGUAUUUGCCUGGCAAAGGAGAACCAGAGUUAGAAAACCAGACUCUCAUAGCAAAUGGGCUCCCUGAGCACCAAUUAUGUUAAGCAAAAUUAAGUCCUUACUUCAGAUGUGUGUCAAAGAUACAUGGAGGGCUGAGUAAGGAAAGCUAGACUACAUCUAACCAGACUUCCAGAAGGGGAAGAAAGAAAUGGUGGGAGGGAAAAGGUGACUGAGAACUUUCCAGGAUUAACUAAAGACACCAAUCUUCAGAAUACAGAAAUCCCAAAGACCCAAAUAGGAUAAAUACAAAGAAUCCACACCUGACAUAUCACAGUGAAAGUGCUAAAUACUGAUGAGAAUAAGAAUGUAUUAGCAGUAAUAUGAGAGAAAAUACAGGCUAAAUUUUAAUGUAUCAACAGUAUUUUGGCAAAUGUCUUCUCAACAGCAACAAAGGAAGCCAUGAAAACUGAAAUAAUACGUUCAAGGAGAAAGUAGAAAAAAUUGUCAACCUAGAAUUCAUAUUUGUCAAGAACAUGAUGAAAAAAUAUAAGUAAAUCUAAACAAAUACUGAUUUUACAAAAAUAAUAAUAAUUAUGUCCAAUAAGGUUAGAAAUACAGUAAAACUUAAAGACUGUGCAUCAAUACUGUAUUUAGAAAGGAGUUAAAAUUAACAUGUUUUGGGGUCCUAUAUUGUUUGGGGAAAUUAUAAUUUAUUAAAUUUUGACUUUGAUAAGUUAAAGAAACCUGUUAAAUAAAUGACAGAAAAAAAUGUAUAAAUUCUAAACCAGAGCCCCCAAAAAAUGGAAUAAGAAAAAAAAAUCUAAUCAAUUCAAAAGAAAGAGAAACAAAUAUAGAAAAGAUUGGACAGAAAGUACAAAGUGAGUUAUUAGAAACCAAUAAAUUAUAUUAGAAAUACAAUUAAUGCAAAUCUAUUACAUUUUCCACUUAAAAGAGAAGAUUGUCAUAAUAGAAAAGUAAAACAUGCUAUUUAUAAGAAAUAGGUCUAAAAUAUCAAUGCAGAAAAGAUGAAAGUAAAAAAGUAAAAAAAAAUGCAAAUACCAACUCCCCAAAGCUAAUACAAUAGUUAUAAACUUGUAUGCACCUAGAAAUAUGGUUUUGAAAUAUAUAAAGCAAAAGUUGGCAGGAACUUCACAGAGAAAUAGACAAAUCCACCAUUAUUUCAGGAAAUAUUGACACAGCUGUCUUGCAAAGAGGGAGGGGAAAAAGGAAGGAAGAGAGGGAGAGAAGGAAGGAGACACACAAGAUUUGAAAAAUACACCAGUCUUGAUAUAAUGGAGAUCAAGAAG